GGAGGCAGCAGUGGGGAAUCUUAGACAAUGGGCGCAAGCCUGAUCUAGCCAUGCCGCGUGAGUGAUGAAGGCCUUAGGGUCGUAAAGCUCUUUCGCCAGAGAUGAUAAUGACAGUAUCUGGUAAAGAAACCCCGGCUAACUCCGUGCCAGCAGCCGCGGUAAUACGGAGGGGGUUAGCGUUGUUCGGAAUUACUGGGCGUAAAGCGCACGUAGGCGGAUCAGAAAGUUGGGGGUGAAAUCCCAGGGCUCAACCCUGGAACGGCCUCCAAAACUCCUGGUCUUGAGUUCGAGAGAGGUGAGUGGAAUUCCGAGUGUAGAGGUGAAAUUCGUAGAUAUUCGGAGGAACACCAGUGGCGAAGGCGGCUCACNGGCUCGNUACNGACGC
RNAcentral lists this ribosomal RNA (385 nucleotides) under uncultured Roseobacter sp. RNAcentral describes it as "bacterial SSU rRNA". It matches the Rfam family "Bacterial small subunit ribosomal RNA", at positions 344 to 746 of the family's 1533-position model. The record is from RNAcentral. Lineage: Bacteria; Pseudomonadati; Pseudomonadota; Alphaproteobacteria; Rhodobacterales; Roseobacteraceae.